RNAcentral lists this ribosomal RNA (837 nucleotides) under uncultured organism. Its description in RNAcentral is "bacterial SSU rRNA". It matches the Rfam family "Bacterial small subunit ribosomal RNA", at positions 91 to 965 of the family's 1533-position model. The record is from RNAcentral.
CUUAGUGGCGGACGGGUUAGUAACGCGUGGGAACGUGCCUUUCACUACGGAAUAGUCCCGGGAAACUGGGUUCAAUACCGUAUACGCCCUUCGGGGGAAAGAAUUUCGGUGAAAGAUCGGCCCGCGUUAGAUUAGAUAGUUGGUGGGGUAAUGGCCUACCAAGUCUACGAUCUAUAGCUGGUUUUAGAGGAUGAUCAGCAACACUGGGACUGAGACACGGCCCAGACUCCUACGGGAGGCAGCAGUGGGGAAUCUUAGACAAUGGGCGAAAGCCUGAUCUAGCCAUGCCGCGUGAGUGAAGAAGGUCCUAGGAUCGUAAAGCUCUUUCGCCAGGGAUGAUAAUGACAGUACCUGGUAAAGAAACCCCGGCUAACUCCGUGCCAGCAGCCGCGGUAAUACGGAGGGGGUUAGCGUUGUUCGGAAUUACUGGGCGUAAAGCGCGCGUAGGCGGAUCAGAAAGUUGGGGGUGAAAUCCCGGGGCUCAACCCCGGAACUGCCUCCAAAACUCCUGGUCUUGAGUUCGAGAGAGGUGAGUGGAACUCCGAGUGUAGAGGUGAAAUUCGUAGAUAUUCGGAAGAACACCAGUGGCGAAGGCGGCUCACUGGCUCGAUACUGACGCUGAGGUGCGAAAGUGUGGGGAGCAAACAGGAUUAGAUACCCUGGUAGUCCACACCGUAACGAUGAAUGCCAGUCGUCGGGCAGUAUACUGUUCGGUGACACACCUAACGGAUUAAGCAUUCCGCCUGGGGAGUACGGUCGCAAGAUUAAAACUCCAAGGAAUUGACGGGGGCCCGCACAAGCGGUGGAGCAUGUGGUUUAAUUCGGACGCAACGCGCA